CCCCCCCCAACUUCCCAUGUUGUUGGUUAGGUCCUCGCGAUCACAUGCGCGCAGAGGCGUGUCAUCUCGGAAUUAAGCAAGCCCCCUGACUGGAACGGCUCGGGGCGCUGUAGCCUUUCGUCGGGGGAUCGUUGUUGGUGUCGUGUCAUAAUUGUCCCCCCCGGUCUUUAGCAAUGCCCUGUGUAGGGCUGCUAUAUCCCUUUUGUAGGCGGUUCUCCCCGUCUUAAAAGAUGGCGGCAUGCUAAUGGCAUGAUGAUUAGCCAUUAAUACAUGAUUGCGAGGCUCCAACCGCACCGCUUCUAGCUCUCCGGGGCGCAUUGUGUUAUCCACUGCGUAAUUCUUGGGUGAGGUAGCAAUAGGAAGAUCAGUACUCUACAUGCGGAUCACUGCACCAGUCUAUCUGGUGGUAACAUAUCGGCGCCAUGUGGUGGUAGCUUGGUCUCGGCCGUUGCUCUCGUGGAAGUAAUUGUUGAUGUGGGACUUGACAGGGCACUGAUAACCAGCCAAUCAUGGACUUGUUGUACCUCGCGCCAUUAAGCCGGCCCGGCCGCUCCCCGCCCAUGAAGAUCUCACGUGGAUGGGAUCCACUGUCACUGUUGGAUCCCAAGGUACGCGCCCCUCGCUCGCUCGCAGCCAAUCAAGCUGCUCGUCCGAAUGGGUGCACGGCCCCCCGUGGCCGUGCCCCUGCCGAGACGCCGGCUGACCGACGGCGUGCACGUCUUCUUUUUUCACCGUGGUCUGGUCGCUCCCUGGCGCGGCCCGGUGAUUCUACCCCGGCGAGCGGGCGCGGCGAGCCGAGGGCUACUCCGCGCCUCGCGCCAUGCCGGGGGUGGUCAUGUGCCGGUCACAUGGGCCGGGGGAGCUGCUGGCUGGCUGGCUGGCACGCGUCGGCGCCGUCGCUCUCCGGCCCUGGUGCUGCUGAGGGCGACGGCCGGGGGAGCGCUGGGGGGCCGCGGUGAUUCGAAUUUAAUUGUUUCCCGGCGCGGGCCCCCUGGCGCGACUGGACGGAUCGGGGUUCGGGGCCGUCGCUGUCGCGGCCAGCGAGAUGGGUCGCCGCGCUCGCUGGACGGGACGGAUACGCGCGGAGUGGGACUCCGGACAUCGUCCCUGUCCCGCUUCUGGUGGCACGGCCGUGGGAUGGCGCCGGGCUCUCCGCCCUCCCCGUCAUCAUUGCUUCCUCCUGUCCGUACGCGCUUGGCAGCACCCACUUCAUCCAUCCAUGGUGGACGAGGCCCGUAUUAUCCGUAUGGGUGACUACAUGUUCGUACCAUACGCGAUACCGAUCGACCCCUUUAAGUCUCGUUGUGCAAGGCUGGCUGGUUAUGUACGAUGGAAUGGAUGGGUCCUCGGCAUCGAUCACCCUGUGCUGUUGUUCCGAUGGCGAGAUGGCUGUAACAUCCGGCGACUGCCAGGUGCCCAAGAACAUGUAGGCCUCGUGGCAACCAACAGUCCGAUGAUCCGACGCGGGAUGAUUGGUGACAAGCAAUGCGGACAGGUAAGUGGGAAGAGUUAAGGGCGCACAGCGGACCGCGCCGUGCAUGAACGCAACCCGCCUUUCGGAUCAGUGAAAAGGAAUGUCUCGGGGAAUCGCGCUAUUGAGCCACCUGCAAUGUUCGCGUCCCAAUAGUUACCUGACAGUGUCCGCGCGCGCUCCUUACUUGACCCCUGUUUAAAGGUGAGGUGAUCGGUACUAUGCGAGAUGAUGUCUGGACUCACUCUCUCUUCUUUGGGAUCUGGACCACAUGGGGAUGGGCUGGCCAUGUUUGGCACAGUGAAAGUCGGAUGCGGCGGAACAGCCUAGCCCAGGCCAUGGAUCUUGCCCUUGUACUCGCCACACGGCAGCAUAGGAUCCAUCCAUGCGCGCACAGUGCGCGUCGAUCACUCGAUCAGCUGCAAGAUGUGUACGUGUGGCGUAGGAUGCGGUGCGAGACGAGGUACCAUGGAUGGACCUGGGAUACAGUACGACGUAGUACGAGUGUAAACCUAGCUAGCGGCAUCAAUGGGUGUGUACAUAGUAGUGUAUCCGGCGAGACCUACCCGUGUGUACGGACACUCCCACGUGACGAGCUUGUGCUUCCGAGAAUCCGAGCACAGUGCGCGUGGCUGGCAGGUAGCCUUGUCGUGACAGUGGGUGAGGAACCUUCUGCAGUUGCUAGCAGGCAGCCAGGCAGGAAGCAGACCUCCGGCGAGGGCUUGUACAAUACGAGGCUUCCGGUGGGGUGCAGUGCCUUGUGUCCGCAGGAGCCCAUCCAUCAUCUACCCUCAACGUCACAUCAAGAGUAUAUAUAUAUGCACUCCCUCCGUCCCUUAAUAUUUAUCAGCAUGGAAUGGGAAGCAUGCUAUUCAAACCUUUUUAAUAAAUUUAUUAUAAAAAUAGAUUUAACGAUCUAUAUAAUGAUACUAAUUAUGUACCAUAAAUAUUAAUAAUUAUAUAUAUAUUUGGUCAAAGUUAAUUACGUUUGAGAAUGACCGAUAAAAAGGGACAGGGAGUCAUGGUGUCUCGUGCGGAAGAAACUUUUGUUUCCAUGGCGGAUUGCCACGGCUCCCGCCGGCGAUGACCCUGCUUGUCCGAAGCAAACACCACUUGCACACCGUGCAUUGUACGUGCGCCUUUGGCGGCGUCGUAUGGAGAUGGCGUGGUCGACAUUGGCGUCCGGUCGCCGAAGCUCGCUCGCUGAGCUCCCCGGAGUCUCGCCGAAUUGAAUUCGCUACAGCUAAGGCGUUGAUGUCCCGGAAAACGACGGUAGAAUCGGCGAUCCUUCCCGGCCGUGGCCACGGAAAGCGAUCCGCCGAGAGAUGGGAACAAGGGGAGCGGAGCGCCACUCUCUCCGGAGAGAUCGUUUUCCCGUGGGCGUCCUGCGAGGGUCUACAGCCAUAACGCCGUCGAUAGCUAGGGGAGCGUCAAUGCGUGAUGUGUGGGUGACCUCUCUGCUGUGGUCAAGCUUCGUGCAGGUUCAGUUUCAGCACACGUUUAGUGUACUCAACGACGUACCCGAAUAGGAUGUGCUUUAGAGUCCGCUUGUGUUGCAAGCACGGGGAAUUAUUUCCCACAUGCUUAGCAUGCCAUUAGGGGGGGUACCAACAGCUUUUCCUUGAGGGAUUUAUAGAAGGAAAAAAGAAGGUUAAUGACCCUCUUGGUCUUGAACAACCCAUUCUCUCCCCCACGAUGAAAUCUACCAGAAGACUGCUACACUUAUGCAAGUGCUAUUGUACAAGGAGGGCAUGCUACGGCGUUGGUGUGGUGGAAGUUGGAGUUUUAAUCACUAUAUUUCGGGAUGGGGAGGUGUUUUAUAAAGAUGUUGGUUUGCUUGAGCAAUCCGGAAAGGCUUGGCGUUCAUGGUUGGCUGGAGAAAGCUUGACAUCUACAUUUCAAUUCUGAAAUUGUCAAUUAAAGUCGGGAUAGAGACAGACUAGCAGUUCGGACCAGUAUACUUCAAUCCUGCAAGAUACUUUACAAAAGCUGUAUUCGGUGAUGGAGAAUCAAUCUUCAUAUUCGUUUGUUAUAGUGAUGCAGCCCGAAGAUUAUAAACAAAUUGAUAUGAAUAAUUGUUUAUGUUUUCUUUGAGGCGAGGAAAACUAUCUUGGAAACUC
Setaria italica (foxtail millet) is the source of this 3591-nucleotide long non-coding RNA. RefSeq lists it as uncharacterized. NCBI's taxonomy places the organism in Eukaryota, Viridiplantae, Streptophyta, Magnoliopsida, Poales, Poaceae. The record is from RefSeq and is a predicted model, not a curated record. The transcript is spliced from 4 exons.